Long non-coding RNA from Oreochromis niloticus (Nile tilapia), 267 nucleotides. RefSeq lists it as uncharacterized. The record is from RefSeq and is a predicted model, not a curated record. The transcript has 3 exons. NCBI's taxonomy places the organism in Eukaryota, Metazoa, Chordata, Actinopteri, Cichliformes, Cichlidae.
GACUCCACUCAGCAAGGGAGCCUAGCAGCACCCUGCGAACCAACAACCUUCUCUUUCAAUGGUGGUGAUCCAAAUCAGUGUGGAGCAGAAUGCACCAUAGAGAUGUACAACUCUCCUGUUGAACACCUCAAGACUGAAGACUGCAAGGAAAGAACGCUAAUCUACACCGAGCAUCUGAAGAACAACAAACAAGUCCUCCAGCACAUUGAAUCCAAAACCUGUUCCAGUUCCUCAGCGUCAGAGACUGUUUUGAAAGCCCUCUACUAU